AUUGAACGCUGGCGGAAUGCUUUACACAUGCAAGUCGAACGGCAGCACGGGGGCAACCCUGGUGGCGAGUGGCGAACGGGUGAGUAAUACAUCGGAACGUGCCCAGUCGUGGGGGAUAACGUAGCGAAAGUUACGCUAAUACCGCAUACGAUCUACGAAUGAAAGCGGGGGACCGUACGGCCUCGCGCGAUUGGAACGGCCGAUGUCAGAUUAGGUAGUUGGUGAGGUAAAGGCUCACCAAGCCGACGAUCUGUAGCUGGGCUGAGAGGACGACCAGCCACACUGGGACUGAGACACGGCCCAGACUCCUACGGGAGGCAGCGGUGGGGAAUUUUGGACAAUGGGCGCAAGCCUGAUCCAGCCAUUCCGCGUGCAGGACGAAGGCCUUCGGGUUGUAAACUGCUUUUGUACGGAACGAAAAGGCUCUGGUUAAUACCUGGGGCUCAUGACGGUACCGUAAGAAUAAGCACCGGCUAACUCUGUGCCAGCAGCCGCCGUAA
RNAcentral lists this ribosomal RNA (500 nucleotides) under uncultured bacterium. RNAcentral describes it as "partial 16S ribosomal RNA". It matches the Rfam family "Bacterial small subunit ribosomal RNA", at positions 30 to 523 of the family's 1533-position model. The record is from RNAcentral.